Molecule: ribosomal RNA, 255 nt
Filed under: uncultured bacterium
Lineage: Bacteria
Description: partial 16S ribosomal RNA
Rfam family: Bacterial small subunit ribosomal RNA
Source: RNAcentral
UACGAAGGGGGCUAGCGUUGCUCGGAAUCACUGGGCGUAAAGGGUGCGUAGGCGGGUCUUUAAGUCAGGGGUGAAAUCCUGGAGCUCAACUCCAGAACUGCCUUUGAUACUGAAGAUCUUGAGUUCGGGAGAGGUGAGUGGAACUGCGAGUGUAGAGGUGAAAUUCGUAGAUAUUCGCAAGAACACCAGUGGCGAAGGCGGCUCACUGGCCCGAUACUGACGCUGAGGCACGGAAAAGCGUGGGGAGCAAACAGG